AGUGAACGCUGGCGGUAGGCCUAACACAUGCAAGUCGAACGGCAGCACAGUAAGAGCUUGCUCUUACGGGUGGCGAGUGGCGGACGGGUGAGGAAUACAUCGGAAUCUACUUUUUCGUGGGGGAUAACGUAGGGAAACUUACGCUAAUACCGCAUACGACCUACGGGUGAAAGCAGGGGAUCUUCGGACCUUGCGCGAUUGAAUGAGCCGAUGUCGGAUUAGCUAGUUGGCGGGGUAAAGGCCCACCAAGGCGACGAUCCGUAGCUGGUCUGAGAGGAUGAUCAGCCACACUGGAACUGAGACACGGUCCAGACUCCUACGGGAGGUAGCAGUGGGGAAUAUUGGACAAUGGGCGCAAGCCUGAUCUAGCCAUACCGCGUGGGUGAAGAAGGCCUUCGGGUUGUAAAGCCCUUUUGUUGGGAAAGAAAAGCAGCAGGUUAAUACCCCGCUGUUCUGACGGUACCCAAAGAAUAAGCACCGGCUAACUUCGUG
RNAcentral lists this ribosomal RNA (492 nucleotides) under uncultured bacterium. RNAcentral describes it as "partial 16S ribosomal RNA". It matches the Rfam family "Bacterial small subunit ribosomal RNA", at positions 29 to 507 of the family's 1533-position model. The record is from RNAcentral.